UACGGAAGGCAGCAGUGGGGAAUAUUGCACAAUGGGCGCAAGCCUGAUGCAGCCAUGCCGCGUGUAUGAAGAAGGCCUUCGGGUUGUAAAGUACUUUCAGUCGUGAGGAAGGUGUUAAGGUUAAUAACCUUAGCAAUUGACGUUAGCGACAGAAGAAGCACCGGCUAACUCCGUGCCAGCAGCCGCGGUAAUACGGAGGGUGCGAGCGUUAAUCGGAAUUACUGGGCGUAAAGGGCACGCAGGCGGUUAAUUAAGUUGGAUGUGAAAUCCCCGGGCUUAACCUGGGAAUGGCAUUCAAGACUGGUUAGCUAGAGUCUUGUAGAGGGGGUAGAAUUCCAUGUGUAGCGGUGAAAUGCGUAGAGAUGUGGAGGAAUACCGGUGGCGAGGCGGCCCCUGGACAAAGACUGACGCUCAUGUGCGAAGCGUGGGGAGCAAACGAGGAUUAGAUACC
This 451-nucleotide ribosomal RNA is filed under the name uncultured bacterium. Its description in RNAcentral is "bacterial SSU rRNA". It matches the Rfam family "Bacterial small subunit ribosomal RNA", at positions 340 to 786 of the family's 1533-position model. The record is from RNAcentral.